Molecule: ribosomal RNA, 1996 nt
Filed under: Shigella sonnei
Lineage: Bacteria; Pseudomonadati; Pseudomonadota; Gammaproteobacteria; Enterobacterales; Enterobacteriaceae
Description: partial 23S ribosomal RNA
Rfam family: Bacterial large subunit ribosomal RNA
Source: RNAcentral
CCGGAGAAUGUUAUCACGGGAGACACACGGCGGGUGCUAACGUCCGUCGUGAAGAGGGAAACAACCCAGACCGCCAGCUAAGGUCCCAAAGUCAUGGUUAAGUGGGAAACGAUGUGGGAAGGCCCAGACAGCCAGGAUGUUGGCUUAGAAGCAGCCAUCAUUUAAAGAAAGCGUAAUAGCUCACUGGUCGAGUCGGCCUGCGCGGAAGAUGUAACGGGGCUAAACCAUGCACCGAAGCUGCGGCAGCGACGCUUAUGCGUUGUUGGGUAGGGGAGCGUUCUGUAAGCCUGCGAAGGUGUGCUGUGAGGCAUGCUGGAGGUAUCAGAAGUGCGAAUGCUGACAUAAGUAACGAUAAAGCGGGUGAAAAGCCCGCUCGCCGGAAGACCAAGGGUUCCUGUCCAACGUUAAUCGGGGCAGGGUGAGUCGACCCCUAAGGCGAGGCCGAAAGGCGUAGUCGAUGGGAAACAGGUUAAUAUUCCUGUACUUGGUGUUACUGCGAAGGGGGGACGGAGAAGGCUAUGUUGGCCGGGCGACGGUUGUCCCGGUUUAAGCGUGUAGGCUGGUUUUCCAGGCAAAUCCGGAAAAUCAAGGCUGAGGCGUGAUGACGAGGCACUACGGUGCUGAAGCAACAAAUGCCCUGCUUCCAGGAAAAGCCUCUAAGCAUCAGGUAACAUCAAAUCGUACCCCAAACCGACACAGGUGGUCAGGUAGAGAAUACCAAGGCGCUUGAGAGAACUCGGGUGAAGGAACUAGGCAAAAUGGUGCCGUAACUUCGGGAGAAGGCACGCUGAUAUGUAGGUGAAGUCCCUUGCGGAUGGAGCUGAAAUCAGUCGAAGAUACCAGCUGGCUGCAACUGUUUAUUAAAAACACAGCACUGUGCAAACACGAAAGUGGACGUAUACGGUGUGACGCCUGCCCGGUGCCGGAAGGUUAAUUGAUGGGGUCAGCGCAAGCGAAGCUCUUGAUCGAAGCCCCGGUAAACGGCGGCCGUAACUAUAACGGUCCUAAGGUAGCGAAAUUCCUUGUCGGGUAAGUUCCGACCUGCACGAAUGGCGUAAUGAUGGCCAGGCUGUCUCCACCCGAGACUCAGUGAAAUUGAACUCGCUGUGAAGAUGCAGUGUACCCGCGGCAAGACGGAAAGACCCCGUGAACCUUUACUAUAGCUUGACACUGAACAUUGAGCCUUGAUGUGUAGGAUAGGUGGGAGGCUUUGAAGUGUGGACGCCAGUCUGCAUGGAGCCGGCCUUGAAAUACCACCCUUUAAUGUUUGAUGUUCUAACGUGGACCCGUGAUCCGGGUUGCGGACAGUGUCUGGUGGGUAGUUUGACUGGGGCGGUCUCCUCCUAAAGAGUAACGGAGGAGCACGAAGGUUGGCUAAUCCUGGUCGGACAUCAGGAGGUUAGUGCAAUGGCAUAAGCCAGCUUGACUGCGAGCGUGACGGCGCGAGCAGGUGCGAAAGCAGGUCAUAGUGAUCCGGUGGUUCUGAAUGGAAGGGCCAUCGCUCAACGGAUAAAAGGUACUCCGGGGAUAACAGGCUGAUACCGCCCAAGAGUUCAUAUCGACGGCGGUGUUUGGCACCUCGAUGUCGGCUCAUCACAUCCUGGGGCUGAAGUAGGUCCCAAGGGUAUGGCUGUUCGCCAUUUAAAGUGGUACGCGAGCUGGGUUUAGAACGUCGUGAGACAGUUCGGUCCCUAUCUGCCGUGGGCGCUGGAGAACUGAGGGGGGCUGCUCCUAGUACGAGAGGACCGGAGUGGACGCAUCACUGGUGUUCGGGUUGUCAUGCCAAUGGCACUGCCCGGUAGCUAAAUGCGGAAGAGAUAAGUGCUGAAAGCAUCUAAGCACGAAACUUGCCCCGAGAUGAGUUCUCCCUGACCCUUUAAGGGUCCUGAAGGAACGUUGAAGACGACGACGUUGAUAGGCCGGGUGUGUAAGCGCAGCGAUGCGUUGAGCUAACCGGUACUAAUGAACCGUGAGGCUUAACCUUACAACGCCGAAG